CUUUUGAAAAAUUAUUACAAAUGCGCAUAUCAUGAAAUGUUGUGGAAGACAGAUUCAAAGAUGUCAAAUUUCCCACAGUGAACGUAUAAAAAAACAAUAUCUACUUGGAAAAUUUACAGCCCAUGACUGGGAUAUCAAGCAAGUAAUUUACAUUAAAAAAAAGGGGGAGAGAAUCAAAAUGAAUAUGUAUACAGACAACCAAUCUCAUGACUAAAAAAAUUAUAAAAGGUGAAAAUUUAGCUCUACACUAUGGUUAUCUGCCUUCAUUUCUAUCAGAAUGUGAAAGAAAAGAAGUUGAACCAGCUUCAAUAUCAACAUCCCCAUGAUCACCCCCACAUGACCAUGUAUUGAGCUUCUCAAAAUUUGAUGACAGUGGAAAUGAAUGCACAUAAUCUUCAAACUCCCCACCGCUACCACCAUCACCCUUUUUCCCAUCAUAUGCAUCUGGGGCUGCAACCACCUCAGGCAAUGACACUUCUCCCUCUAGGUACCUCACAACCUGCCUCAUUGAAGGCCUCAUGUUGGGUGUGUUGUUGGAACACAUUAGCCCCAAUUUCAACACAACAACAGCCUCAAGCUCAUCAAACUCAUCAUUCAAUCUUGGAUCCACGACGUCGAGAAUUGCACCACUUUUCCAUUUCUCCCACACCCAGUCCACCAAAAUGAGCUCCUCAGGCAACGCUUUAGGCUCAAUAGGUCUCCUUCCACACACCACUUCAAGCAGCAGUGCACCAAAUGCAAACACAUCUGAGCUAGUAGUAGGCUUGCCUGUUCUUGUUAGCUCGGGUGCUAAGUAACCCAAAGUGCCUACCACCCUAGUGGUGCUAGGAUUACUGCCUCGCUCAUAUAAUUUGGCAAGGCCAAAGUCACCAAGUCUUCCAUUUAGCUCAGAAUCUAACAGCACAUUGCCUGCCUUUAUGUCUCUAUGAAUCACAGUCUGUUCCCAUCCUUCAUGCAAAUACAGAAGGCCAGAAGCAACAUCUUUAAUAAUAUUGAACCUUUGUUCCCACUUGAGAAUGGCUUGAGGCUCAUCAAACAAGUACUUGUCUAAGCUCCCAUUAGGCAUGAAAUCAUAGACAAGUAGUAAGUCACCUCGCCGGCGACACCAGCCCAGCAACUGAACCAAAUUUCUGUGUCUAAGACGACCAAUACUAGCAAUCUCAGACAUAAAUUCCCUCACACCUUGUUUAGAUUCAUGAGAGAUUCGCUUGACUGCAACUUGAGUACUAGAAUUUGGUAGAGUUCCUUUAUAAACUUUGCCAAAUCCACCAAACCCAAGAAGCUCUUUGUCUCUGAAGCCCCUUGUUGCUUUCUUGAGUUCUUGAUAAGAAAACCUAUGAGGACCAACAUCGAACUCCCAUUCCUCUAUCACAUCUGCAUUCUUGAUCUUUCUAAUGAGGUAAAAAGACAUAGCAACGACCAAGAUUAUGAACAAAACAGCUGAAAAUGUGACAGCUGCAAUCAACACUUUGUGACUCUUUUUAGGCCCAGGAAGAGAAGGAAGAGAAGACAGAGAUAAAGUUUGAGCCAUUCCAUUCAUAGUAAAACUCCAUCCAAGAAUAUAGUGAGUGCUUGCCAGCAAACCGGUUGAUGAAGAGAACCCAACAUACAUAUAAUCUUGGAGGAAAGGAGAAAGAUCUACUUCGAAAGACAAGAUGGGAGAUCUUGGUUUUAUAGAAGAAGGUGAAAGCCUGACCUCUAUUAGAUUCUGGGUUGAGUUAUAAUCAACCCAAGCUUGAAAGGCCCUACCACUCUGGAGAGUCAAAUUCACCAUAGUAGAAUUAUCAAGAAAAUAAGCAGCAGGAACAGAUCUAUUUGAUAUCAUGCUAUUUAUAUCAAUACCAACAUGGUUAUCAUUUAUAUCACCAAACUCAAAAUCUUGAACUGUAUCAAAUUCAACUGCGAAGAUGUGAUUGGAGAAAUUACCAAUAUCGCUUGCAUUGAGUAGGCCUAGGUACUGGCUUGGAAGAGACCCUGGGAGCUCCUUUGAGGGAGAGAUGGUGAAAGCAAAACCAUGGCCGCCGAGCUUUGGGUAUUCAGGAACUAUGGCGAAAGCAAAGGCGGUGGAGAAGGAGAGAGCUCUGCCAGUGCUAGAGUUCUUGAAUUGGAUUUUAUUGGAGUAAAAAGCAUGGCCUUUCAAGCGGAGAGUGUCGUUUGUUAAGCGAAGUAUGCCAUUAUCUUCAAUCUCAGCACCAUCAUAUAUGCUCAUGUUGCUCUUGGCAUGAUGAAAACCAUGGGAGAAGAGCUCAUCUAGCUGGGAAAAAACUGGGUUCGAAAGAAAAAAGAGAAAAAACGAGAAAAAAGACAGUUUCUGGGACAUUAUAGAAAGAAAGAUUGAGAUUUCUGAAACAGGGGAUGUUCUGUUUUCUGCAAGAUUGAAAAAGUUCUGAAACUUUGGUUCCUGUCACAUUUUCAGCAUGUGUUUAAACUUGGUUUAGAAAAGAAGAGGAGGAAGAACAAGAAGAAGAGGAAAGAGAUUUGUGGGUGCUUCUUGGAUGGUGAAGGGGAGAUCUAAGAUUUUAUCUUACAUGGGUCUGUAAUUGAAGUCUUGUGGAUAGUGACUAUAAGCAACUCAGCAUAAGAGUCCAUUUUUGCCUCACCCACCAGUUUGGAAACCAUGGAAUAAAGCCAUAUAUUGUUG
RNAcentral lists this unclassified non-coding RNA (2641 nucleotides) under Hevea brasiliensis (rubber tree). The record is from RNAcentral. Lineage: Eukaryota; Viridiplantae; Streptophyta; Magnoliopsida; Malpighiales; Euphorbiaceae.